This 596-nucleotide ribosomal RNA is filed under the name uncultured bacterium. Its description in RNAcentral is "bacterial SSU rRNA". It matches the Rfam family "Bacterial small subunit ribosomal RNA", at positions 338 to 949 of the family's 1533-position model. The record is from RNAcentral.
CCUACGGGAGGCAGCAGUGGGGAAUAUUGGACAAUGGGCGAAAGCCUGAUCCAGCAAUGCCGCGUGAGUGAUGAAGGCCUUAGGGUUGUAAAGCUCUUUUACCAGGGAUGAUAAUGACAGUACCUGGAGAAUAAGCUCCGGCUAACUCCGUGCCAGCAGCCGCGGUAAUACGGAGGGAGCUAGCGUUAGUUCGGAAUUACUGGGCGUAAAGCGUACGUAGGCGGUUAUUCAAGUCAGAGGUGAAAGCCUGGAGCUCAACUCCAGAACUGCCUUUGAAACUAGGUAGCUAGAAUCACGGAGAGGUUAGUGGAAUUCCGAGUGUAGAGGUGAAAUUCGUAGAUAUUCGGAAGAACACCAGUGGCGAAGGCGACUAACUGGACGUGUAUUGACGCUGAGGUACGAAAGCGUGGGGAGCAAACAGGAUUAGAUACCCUGGUAGUCCACGCCGUAAACGAUGAUAACUAGCUGUUCGGUCUCUACGAGACUGAGUGGCGCAGCUAACGCAUUAAGUUAUCCGCCUGGGGAGUCGGUCGCGAAGNUUAAAACUCAAAGUAAUAGUGCGNGUGAGNGCGACGACGACGACGACGGAGGAGGAG